RNAcentral lists this long non-coding RNA (1010 nucleotides) under Cyanistes caeruleus (blue tit). RNAcentral describes it as "lncRNA (ENSCCEG00000006356.1)". The record is from RNAcentral. Lineage: Eukaryota; Metazoa; Chordata; Aves; Passeriformes; Paridae.
AUCUGGUGCCUGCUGGGAACCGCGGUGUCAGAGCAUGUGCCCGCUGUAUUUAUAGCUCCCGGGAGGCACCGGAGGGAGCAUGGGGAGCUGGCAGGAGCGGUUCAGGCCGUACUAAGCGUUCCGUGCGGCCGAGAGGCAGCGGCUGAGGGCUGAAAGCCUCCCCGGAGCGGUCUGACAGUGCCACCGGCCAGCUGAGAGUGCAUUAAGCCUUGCCCUCGUGUGCGUGGGCUCACGCAGAGGGGGGCGACAUGGAUGUCGUGCCCAACAACAAAGCUCCCCAGGGAUGCACUGCCAGCCUGGAAGGUGGUGCUGUGUUUAUAGGCAUCAGUGACCAGGACUGGACCUCUCUUGAGUCGAGGCCAGAGAGCUGCUUCAUGCUGUACGCACCGCGUGGAACUUGCAGGCAUUGAGGUCUUUAAAUACCCCAGCAUGCUCUGGGACUCGGCUUUCCCGAGGAGGAGACAACAUGCCUUUCUGCAUUGUACCCUCAUUUCACCCCUGCAAGGUCUGGUGUCUCCUCUUUUCAUGGGAAAGCAAACACCCCUUUAACACCCCCAGGCUCCUGCUGCUGGUUUCACACAGACCCCCCCGGCUAGUGAUGCUCACAGCUGCUGCCUGACUACCCAGAUUGACAAGGUGUGCACUCAGGUGUCAGCUCUUCUGACUGGUGUAUGGUUUGGUGUGGAGAUUACUGAUGAAGAGUUUGAGCUGCUACUUGACAGAAUCCCCCUUGAUGAAGAUGGAAAUGUCAAAUACCCCCAGUUCAUGCUCAGGUUUGAUUCCUGGUAUACAGCAUAUGCAUUUUAUUCCUCAUUUGUGAGCAGGAUUAUUUUUAAUCUAAAAGGCUCACGUAGCAUUUCCAGACUGAAUCUCAUUUCUUAACUGUGCUCCUUUAUGACAUUUCUUGCAAAGAGUGUGCUGAUUAUAUUUAAAAUUAGCUGGUGUUGUGGGUGUAUACUGUUUGUAAUUUAAUUUCUCUUUACAUGCUAUUUACAUUAUUUAGAAGAAAG